UCGGCGUGCUUAACACAUGCAAGUCGAACGGAAAGGCCCUGCUUUUGUGGGGUGCUCGAGUGGCGAACGGGUGAGUAACACGUGAGUAACCUGCCCUUGACUUUGGGAUAACUUCAGGAAACUGGGGCUAAUACCGGAUAGGAGCUCCUGCUGCAUGGUGGGGGUUGGAAAGUUUCGGCGGUUGGGGAUGGACUCGCGGCUUAUCAGCUUGUUGGUGGGGUAGUGGCUUACCAAGGCUUUGACGGGUAGCCGGCCUGAGAGGGUGACCGGCCACAUUGGGACUGAGAUACGGCCCAGACUCCUACGGGAGGCAGCAGUGGGGAAUAUUGCACAAUGGGCGGAAGCCUGAUGCAGCAACGCCGCGUGCGGGAUGACGGCCUUCGGGUUGUAAACCGCUUUCGCCUGUGACGAAGCGUGAGUGACGGUAAUGGGUAAAGAAGCACCGGCUAACUACGUGCCAGCAGCCGCGGUGAUACGUAGGGUGCGAGCGUUGUUCGGAUUUAUUGGGCGUAAAGGGCUCGUAGGUGGUUGAUCGCGUCGGAAGUGUAAUCUUGGGGCUUAACCCUGAGCGUGCUUUCGAUACGGGUUGACUUGAGGAAGGUAGGGGAGAAUGGAAUUCCUGGUGGAGCGGUGGAAUGCGCAGAUAUCAGGAGGAACACCAGUGGCGAAGGCGGUUCUCUGGGCCUUUCCUGACGCUGAGGGGCGAAAGCGUGGGGAGCGAACAGGCUUAGAUACCCUGGUAGUCCACGCUGUAAACGGUGGGUACUAGGUGUGGGGUCCAUUCCACGGGUUCCGUGCCGUAGCUAACGCUUUAAGUACCCCGCCUGGGGAGUACGGCCGCAAGGCUAAAACUCAAAGGAAUUGACGGGGCCCCGCACAAGCGGCGGAGCAUGCGGAUUAAUUCGAUGCAACGCGUAGAACCUUACCUGGGUUUGACAUGGAUCGGGAGUGCUCAGAGAUGGGUGUGCCUCUUUUGGGGUCGGUUCACAGGUGGUGCAUGGCUGUCGUCAGCUCGUGUCGUGAGAUGUUAGGUUAAGUCCCGCAACGAGCGCAACCCUUGUUCACUGUUGCCAGCACGUUAUGGUGGGGACUCAGUGGAGACCGCCGGGGUCAACUCGGAGGAAGGUGGGGAUGACGUCAAGUCAUCAUGCCCCUUAUGUCCAGGGCUUCACGCAUGCUACAAUGGCUGGUACAGAGAGUGGCGAGCCUGUGAGGGUGAGCGAAUCUCGGAAAGCCGGUCUCAGUUCGGAUUGGGGUCUGCAACUCGACCUCAUGAAGUCGGAGUCGCUAGUAAUCGCAGAUCAGCAACGCUGCGGUGAAUACGUUCCCGGGGCUUGUACACACCGCCCGUCAAGUCAUGAAAGUUGGUAACACCCGAAGCCGGUGGCCUAACCGUUGUGGGGGAGCCGUCGAAGGUGGGACUGGUGAU
This 1429-nucleotide ribosomal RNA is filed under the name uncultured organism. RNAcentral's name for it is "partial small subunit ribosomal RNA". It matches the Rfam family "Bacterial small subunit ribosomal RNA". The record is from RNAcentral.